Molecule: non-coding RNA, 1077 nt
Organism: Nicotiana tabacum (common tobacco)
Lineage: Eukaryota; Viridiplantae; Streptophyta; Magnoliopsida; Solanales; Solanaceae
Source: RefSeq, a predicted model, not a curated record
UUUUGAUCCGAACCACGUUAAAUCUUGUGUUCUUUCUUUUACGUUUCCGCUAACACUUUUUUUUUUAAUCGGUUCAGUAUUCACUUAAUUUCCAUUUGGGGCAUUUCCAUUCCCUCAUCCCCUAUAGAUUCUUUCACUUAAUUUUCAAUUCUCAGGAUCCCCUUUAGCAAUUUUUCCUGUUAUAUGUGCUUAUCAUUAACAUGCAUCAAGUGGUUCAAAUUCACAUGUUCACCCCACCGGUAUGGGCAGGGAGCUUAGGGUUGUCUAUGUCUAAGAUAUCUUAGUGGUUACAUUAUCUAAUGAGAGUUUACUGCUUUCUAGUUACAGGUACACUUUUUAACUUUGAAAAUGCGGAGGUAUCAUGAUUUAAAACCGCGUCUAAAUGCUUCCCAAAUCACCUGUUUAUUAUAAGUUUGAACUUUUAAUCUCUGUAAAAUGUACUUUCAGUCUGUUCAAAUGCAGCUGUCAUUUUGUUAAACUUACAUCUGAAGCUUAGUUUCUUACUAGUGUGCAUUUGCAGUGGAGUUAGGUUCUCAGAUCUAACUGGAACCGACUAUAGUGAAGGAGCAAUUGACCUUGCGCGAAGACUUGCUGAUCGUGAUGGAUUCACCAAUAUCAAGUUCUUGGUUGAUGACGUUCUUGAAACAAAGUUGGAUACAAGGUUUCGGCUUGUUUUGGAUAAGGGAACCUUAGAUGCCAUUGGAUUGCAUCCUGAUGGUCUUAUCAAAAGGAUUAUGUACUGGGAUUCUGUCUCAAGGAUUGUUGCUCCUGGUGGAUUAUUGGUCAUUACAUCAUGUAAUAGUACGAAAGAUGAAUUGGUAGAAGAAGUGGAAACUCUCAAUCAAAGAAGAAAUGCUGCAUGUCAAGAACCAGGAACAGUUGGAGACCAAGAUGCCUCUCUAGAACCCCCUCCAUUCCAUUACCUUGAUCAUGUUCGGACAUAUCCCACGUUCACAUUUGGAGGAUCAGUAGGCUCACGUGUAGCUACUGUAGGUAACGUGUGAAACACUGUAAAGGUAACGUGUGAAACACUGUAAAAUGUUAAGAAAAAGAAAGAAAAGGGAUUACGUUCUUGCA